GGGUGCCUGAUUCUGUCCGGAUCAGGCUAUGUUUUCCCUGUUCCGGAUAGAAGAAAGCCCCGAUUACGUUUUUCAACAUAAACCGGGGCUGAAUCUCUACCAAACAAUAGGGAUUUUGCCUCCUUAAAUUAAAGGAGUCAAGAGAAAUGACCGGAAG
Molecule: non-coding RNA, 157 nt
Organism: Morganella morganii subsp. morganii KT
Lineage: Bacteria; Pseudomonadati; Pseudomonadota; Gammaproteobacteria; Enterobacterales; Morganellaceae
Rfam family: sok antitoxin (CssrC)
About the family: Also identified in Shigella as CssrC.
Source: Rfam